ACUCACACCACAUAACCCAUCUCCUCUCUCUCCGCUCCCCUCCGACCUUCACCGCACCACUUUAAUCACUAUUCACCACCACAAACAACAGAAUCAUCAUCCACCACUUUCAUCACCACAACACCACUUUCAUCUUCAUCUUCUACAAUGAUUUAAUUCGUUUCCUCAAAAUCAACGAAACCCAUAAGAACCCUAAAAUACAAUCUCCACUGAUUUAAUUCGUUUCCUCAAAAUCAACGAAACCCACAAGAACCCUAAAAUACAAAUCUUUAUCGUUUAUCACUUCACAAAUUGAAAGUUACUGUAGAAAUCAAAGCUUCAUCCUAAUCCAUAUCUCAAAAUCAAAACCCAUGUGUCAGAAGAAAUCAAGAGGACACUCUGUAACACUAGAUCUAGUUAUUUUACUCCUGAGGCUAGGUGUUUCUUUUUUCUAUUUUUCCUUACAAGAGAACUAAUCCAGGGGUGGAAGAUCUCUUCUCCUAGUUAUUUCUAGAACUUCGCAAAAGAAGGAUUUAACCUCAUCAUAGAAUGGGUAUCCUAAACCAGCAGAAUAGAUAAUCCAAAGUCAUAUUCAAGGCUCAUAAUUGUCAUCAUGUUAUAAUGACACCCUCAGAAAAUCAAGGUUCGUAAAUGCCAACUUCAAGCAUUAACCCUUGUUGAUAUUGGAUUAAGUUAGCUACUGGUUGGAGGCCAUGUGCAUUUUAGGAGGAAAUAAAUGCUUUUUAUUUUUCUCUUUUUGGCAUGAGGCACGGUGGGGGCAUGAGUACAGCUAAAGCCGAUCUAGAGAGUGACAGUACUGUAGUGUGUAGCUUUCUAGACAAGAGGUUUAAAGAAGCAUUUGAAAGAGGCUCAAUGUGCUCAAGCAUUAAAUGCUUGUCUAGAUUGGCGGUACCUUUGCUCCAUUCUGUGUGUCAAGAUACGAGUGAUACAAACACCACUAUUUGUAUCUGGCAUAAACACAUUUCUGCAAGUUUUAUUUGCAACCAAGUUACCGGCAGUCAUUGGCGGUUCUUCUGCUGAUAUUGUACCUAUCUUUUUCAUUAUCGGAGACUCAUCUCUACAACGAAUCACUGAACUUGAUGAAAGAUUUUUACACAGUAAGAUGGAAACUCAAGGAGUCCUGAUUGUAGCUGCAAGCUUGAAGAUCAUACUGGGAUUUAGUCAAGUAUGGGGGCUUUUUUCGCUGUAGACAUUCAAUUCGUAUCAAAGAUUGUGCUGGCAUAUAAUCUAAUUGUAUGUUACUUAGUUCUCCAUGAUUGAAUCACAAGUUAUUGUUAGAAUUUACUAGCUAUAUUGGGCAUGUAUUCUCUGAACUCAGUAUUUCAUCCUUUUUGUGUAAUUUUACACUUAAUGGAUAAAAUGAAUGAAUGUUAAAAUUCUCACUUUGAUUAUAAA
Molecule: long non-coding RNA, 1395 nt
Organism: Papaver somniferum (opium poppy)
Lineage: Eukaryota; Viridiplantae; Streptophyta; Magnoliopsida; Ranunculales; Papaveraceae
Exons: 9
Source: RefSeq, a predicted model, not a curated record